RNAcentral lists this ribosomal RNA (1443 nucleotides) under uncultured organism. RNAcentral describes it as "SSU rRNA". It matches the Rfam family "Bacterial small subunit ribosomal RNA". The record is from RNAcentral.
GAACGCUAGCGGCAGGCUUAACACAUGCAAGUCGAGGGGCAGCGGGGAGUAGCAAUACUCCGCCGGCGACCGGCGCACGGGUGCGUAACGCGUAUGCAACCUACCUUUAACAGGGGCAUAACACUGAGAAAUUGGUACUAAUUCCCCAUAACAUUCGAGAAGGCAUCUUCUUGGGUUAAAAACUCCGGUGGUUAAAGAUGGGCAUGCGUUGUAUUAGCUAGUUGGUGAGGUAACGGCUCACCAAGGCGACGAUACAUAGGGGGACUGAGAGGUUAACCCCCCACAUUGGUACUGAGACACGGACCAAACUCCUACGGGAGGCAGCAGUGAGGAAUAUUGGUCAAUGGACGCAAGUCUGAACCAGCCAUGCCGCGUGCAGGAAGACGGCUCUAUGAGUUGUAAACUGCUUUUGUACUAGGGUAAACGCUCUUACGUGUAGGAGCCUGAAAGUAUAGUACGAAUAAGGAUCGGCUAACUCCGUGCCAGCAGCCGCGGUAAUACGGAGGAUCCAAGCGUUAUCCGGAUUUAUUGGGUUUAAAGGGUGCGUAGGCGGUUUGAUAAGUUAGAGGUGAAAUACCGGGGCUCAACUCCGGAACUGCCUCUAAUACUGUUGAACUAGAGAGUAGUUGCGGUAGGCGGAAUGUAUGGUGUAGCGGAGAAAUGCUUAGAGAUCAUACAGAACACCGAUUGCGAAGGCAGCUUACCAAACUAUAUCUGACGUUGAGGCACGAAAGCGUGGGGAGCAAACAGGAAUUAGAUACCCUGGUAGUCCACGCAGUAAAACGAUGAUAACUCGUUGUCGGGCGAUACACAGUCGGUGACUAAGCGAAAGCGAUAAGUUAUCCACCUGGGGAGUACGUUCGCAAGAAUGAAACUCAAAGGAAUUGACGGGGGCCCGCACAAGCGGAGGAACAUGUGGUUUAAUUCGAUGAUACGCGAGGAACCUUACCCGGGCUUGAAAGUUAGUGACGAUUCUGGAAACAGGAUUUCCCUUCGGGGCACGAAACUAGGUGCUGCAUGGUUGUCGUCAGCUCGUGCCGUGAGGUGUCGGGUUAAGUCCCAUAACGAGCGCAACCCCUACCGUUAGUUGCCAUCAGGUCAAGCUGGGCACUCUGGCGGGACUGCCGGUGUAAGCCGAGAGGAAGGUGGGGAUGACGUCAAAUCAGCACGGCCCUUACGUCCGGGGCUACACACGUGUUACAAUGGUAGGUACAGAGGGCCGCUACCCCGCGAGGGGAUGCCAAUCUCGAAAGCCUAUCUCAGUUCGGAUCGGAGGCUGAAACCCGCCUCCGUGAAGUUGGAUUCGCUAGUAAUCGCGCAUCAGCCAUGGCGCGGUGAAUACGUUCCCGGGCCUUGUACACACCGCCCGUCAAGCCAUGGAAGCUGGGGGUGCCUGAAGUUCGUGACCGCAAGGAGCGACCUAGGGCAAAACCGGUGACUGGG